GACGUAGGGCGCGAGCGUUGUCCGGAUUUAUUGGGCGUAAAGCGCACGUAGGCGGCUUUGCAAGUUAGAGGUGAAAGCCCGGGGCUCAACUCCGGAAUUGCCUUUAAAACUGCAUCGCUAGAAUUGUGGAGAGGUAAGUGGAAUUCCGAGUGUAGAGGUGAAAUUCGUAGAUAUUCGGAAGAACACCAGUGGCGAAGGCGAUUUACUGGACACAUAUUGACGCUGAGGUGCGAAAGCGUGGGGAGCAAACAGG
This 253-nucleotide ribosomal RNA is filed under the name uncultured bacterium. Its description in RNAcentral is "partial 16S ribosomal RNA". It matches the Rfam family "Bacterial small subunit ribosomal RNA", at positions 524 to 776 of the family's 1533-position model. The record is from RNAcentral.